UGCCGCGUGGUCGCCCCGAGGGGGAGGCCGGAGGGAGCCCACCAGCUCCGCGGGGGUUGCGCGGGACCCCCCGGCACCCGCUGGUGCGCCGGGAAGUGUUUGCCGGGCCGGAGCUCCCGCCCGCCCCGCGGAGUUCGCGUCGGCCCCUCCGCUACCGGUGGGUGAGGAGAGCCGCGAUCGCCUCCCCCGCCGCUGCCGGAGCGGGGGACCAGCCUCCCCCUUCCCCGCGGGGGCAGGAUGCAGAGGAGCCCUAGCGCUGACGAUUACAUAAAUUGUGUGGCUCUUCCCUGAUGCUCCAUAAAUGGCCACUGGUGCCUUAUUCUUUUCACUGCCUUAUCUACUCUCACCAAAAUGUAUUAUUUGCUUCCACAUAUCUUUGUUGCACAUUAUUGCAAGCUGUUUUUGUUCAGUGCUGUCCAUGCUGCAAUGCAGAAGUGGGAAUAGAUAUCUUCUAAAACAUGGACCAGUUUUCAAAUGUUAACUUUGCUAGGAGGGCAAAAAAACACCUGCAAAAAUAUCUCCAUCUUCAGGUCCCAAAUUAGCAUGUGGGUACUAUGAUUGAAGAAUAUGAAGUCCUUAGUUAUAAUGUUUGUAACCAAGUUCAGCUGUAUUUAAAUAAAUUUCUUCUGGAUGAGACAGUUUGAAGACAUCUGUUGAGUUGGUUUGUUCUUUUAUCUUAAGUAACUCUGGCCUUCUAAUACAAC
Passer montanus (Eurasian tree sparrow) is the source of this 704-nucleotide long non-coding RNA. RefSeq lists it as uncharacterized. The record is from RefSeq and is a predicted model, not a curated record. The transcript has 4 exons. NCBI's taxonomy places the organism in Eukaryota, Metazoa, Chordata, Aves, Passeriformes, Passeridae.